UACGGAGGAGGCAAGCGUUAUCCGGAGUUAUUGGGCGUAAAGAGUCCGUAGGUGGUUGGCCAAGUCUGCUGUCAAAGGGUGGGGCUUAACCUCAUAAAGGCAGUGGAAACUGGCGAGCUAGAGUGCGGUAGGGGUAGGGGGAAUUACCAGUGUAGCGGUGAAAUGCGUAGAGAUUGGGAAGAACAUCGGUGGCGAAAGCGCCCUGCUGGGCCUGCACUGACACUGAGGGACGAAAGCUUGGGGAGCGAAAGGG
Molecule: ribosomal RNA, 253 nt
Filed under: uncultured bacterium
Lineage: Bacteria
Description: partial 16S ribosomal RNA
Rfam family: Bacterial small subunit ribosomal RNA
Source: RNAcentral